AACGAACGCUGGCGGCAGGCCUAACACAUGCAAGUCGAGCGAGGACUUCGGUUCUAGCGGCGGACGGGUGAGUAACGCGUGUGAAUGUUCCCUUCUCUACGGAAUAGCCCUGGGAAACUGGGAGUAAUACCGUAUACGCCCUAUUGGGGAAAGAUUUAUCGGAGAAGGAUCAGCCCGCGUUGGAUUAGGUAGUUGGUGGGGUAAUGGCCUACCAAGCCGACGAUCCAUAGCUGGUUUGAGAGGAUAAUCAGCCACACUGGGACUGAGACACGGCCCAGACUCCUACGGGAGGCAGCAGUGGGGAAUCUUAGACAAUGGGGGCAACCCUGAUCUAGCCAUGCCGCGUGAGUGAUGAAGGCCUUAGGGUUGUAAAGCUCUUUCAGCUGGGAAGAUAAUGACGGUACCAGCAGAAGAAGCCCCGGCUAACUCCGUG
This 433-nucleotide ribosomal RNA is filed under the name uncultured bacterium. RNAcentral describes it as "partial 16S ribosomal RNA". It matches the Rfam family "Bacterial small subunit ribosomal RNA", at positions 29 to 507 of the family's 1533-position model. The record is from RNAcentral.